CCUACGGGCGGCUGCAGUGGGGAAUAUUGCACAAUGGGCGCAAGCCUGAUGCAGCCAUGCCGCGUGUGUGAAGAAGGCCUUCGGGUUGUAAAGCACUUUCAGCGGGGAGGAAGGCGUUAAGGUUAAUAACCUUGUCGAUUGACGUUACCCGCAGAAGAAGCACCGGCUAACUCCGUGCCAGCAGCCGCGGUAAUACGGAGGGUGCAAGCGUUAAUCGGAAUUACUGGGCGUAAAGCGCACGCAGGCGGUCUGUCAAGUCGGAUGUGAAAUCCCUGGGCUCAACCUGGGAACUGCAUUCGAAACUGGCAGGCUAGAGUCUUGUAGAGGGGGGUAGAAUUCCAGGUGUAGCGGUGAAAUGCGUAGAGACCUGGAGGAAUACCGGUGGCGAAGGCGGCCCCCUGGACAAAGACUGACGCUCAGGUGCGAAAGCGUGGGGAGCAAACAGGAUUAGAUACCCGAGUAGUC
This 465-nucleotide ribosomal RNA is filed under the name uncultured Klebsiella sp. RNAcentral's name for it is "bacterial SSU rRNA". It matches the Rfam family "Bacterial small subunit ribosomal RNA", at positions 338 to 795 of the family's 1533-position model. Lineage: Bacteria; Pseudomonadati; Pseudomonadota; Gammaproteobacteria; Enterobacterales; Enterobacteriaceae. The record is from RNAcentral.